AUACAUAUAUAUAUAUAUAUAUAAUUUUUGUUGUACUUUUCUUUGUUUUAGAAAUACAUGUUUUACUUAACUAUUUUUUUUCUUUGAAAUUAGGAACAAAGAAGUCAUUUUAAAAAAAAAAUAAUUUUUUUUUUAUAUGUAAAAUAAUUUUGUGUGUAUAUUUUUUAACUGCUAAGAAUUGUGCCUUGGUGAGUGAAUUGUGUAUUUACUUAUACAUUUGUAUUUAUAUAUAAUAUAUAUAUAUAAUUUUAGUUUAAAGUUAUAUCCUCAAGAUCUGAUAAAUUGUGCCAUUAAGGUGCAGAAAAUAAUUGUGAGUGAGACGUGAAUGAAACUAUAAAAAAAAAAGUUGUUUAUUUAGUGUUACCUUGUUGUUUUGUUAUCUAUUUACACUAUAUUUAUACAUUCCACAUGUAGAAAGUAGCUGGUUUGGCUGUGAAGUUUUUUAAGUUAUUUAGAUGGCACCUACUAUUUUAGUUGAACAGAAAUAUUCGAACAGCUUAAUUGAAAAUUGUUACAUUUUUUUAAAUAAUAUUUUGAAAAGUCAUUGUUACAAUAAUUAUGUAUAGUUUUUAUGAUGUUGACAUCUUUUUUUUUUUUUUUUG
Molecule: non-coding RNA, 602 nt
Organism: Biomphalaria pfeifferi
Lineage: Eukaryota; Metazoa; Mollusca; Gastropoda; Planorbidae
Source: the annotation of a GenBank genome assembly